RNAcentral lists this long non-coding RNA (311 nucleotides) under Bos taurus (domestic cattle). RNAcentral describes it as "long non-coding RNA NONBTAT022059". Lineage: Eukaryota; Metazoa; Chordata; Mammalia; Artiodactyla; Bovidae. The record is from RNAcentral.
UUAGGAAACUUUUCCCCAAAGUCCUUACAAAAGGAAUCCUGCUAUCACUGCAAAAGGAUAUUUUGUAAAAGAGAUAGUCCUGAUCUAAACUUUGAACCUAGGAAACAAGUAUAUGGUUUAUUUAAGAGCUAAAAAUAGGCAUUUAAGAAAAAAGGUUUUCCCCUUUAAGGAUGAUGCUCAAUCAAGUAUUUGGUGGUUUUAUUAUUUCAGUUUCCUAUUCAUUUGUCACCAAUAAUGACAAUUUAUAAUCACUCUGUAUAGUUCAAAAUUAUGCAUUAGGCCAGAUAUUUCAAAGGCACUUUUGGUAGCCA